GGACGAUUAGCUCAGCUGGUUAGAGCGCUGCUUUUACACAGCAGAGGUCGGGGGUUCGAGCCCCUCAUCGUCCA
Molecule: transfer RNA, 74 nt
Filed under: Patescibacteria group bacterium
Lineage: Bacteria
Description: tRNA-Val
Rfam family: tRNA
About the family: Transfer RNA (tRNA) molecules are approximately 80 nucleotides in length.
Source: RNAcentral